AAGGGCACUACGACUUUAGGAACCGAGAAAGUUUAUAAACAGAAAUCACUGUAAGAAGAAAUAAGGAGUGAAAGUUUUGAUGAAAGAUGUGUCAGUCUUCUGAAAACACAGAGUGCUCUUCAAGGAAAACUUAACAAGUUGCUCAAACACCUGCUUGCUAUGAGGCAAACACUGAGCUGCAUAUUUGCCCCAGGACAGGAGUCUUGGGAGAGAGCUUACCACAUCCCCGCAGCAGCAGAUAAAUCAUGUGACUAGAUGUCAUCAGUCUCUGGAGGAAUGCGAUAGAGUUGCUUAUUUUGACACUUCUUGUGCCAUCUGUGCCGUGGAUUGGUGCUAAAACGUUGGGAUGAAGAUGAAGCCAGUCUAACAGGGCGGCAUAUUAAUACCUGGCUGGAGUCAGAGAAUGCCCGCAGCCACACAAGAGUGGGCUUCACAAGUUCCGCUUUUCAUGCAACUUUCAGCGUGAGGAUUCAAACUUCAAGUGGUGGGUGUAUUUUAAAGAUUUUUGACUUCAAACAAGAAAAACAAGAAACUUCCUGGAAUGGAAGAAAAAGGAGGAGGAGGAGAACUAAGAGAAACACCAGAUGUGAAAGGACUCAAAAUGUCUGGCAACAAGGGUAGAUAAACAGAACUUAUUGCACAAGUAUAAACUUAUUAAGAUAAAAAAUAUCAGAAAGGCACUAAGCAAUUACAGUUUUGUAAGUACAGCUAUUUUUAAGCAUCUUUUGUUACUAAUGGAAGUAAAAUCAAUUCCUGUUUAAAUACAGUAGACAAAAAGUGCAAGUAAUUUCAAAUUUAUUAAGCUGUCCUUGAGAUCAGUUCUACCACUGUGUAGUAGUGAAGGAAACAUCGUGAGUGUCAUCUCUUUUUCAUUUUCUUCAAAAAAUGGGUAUUUCGGUUUAUAAAUGAAGACCUUUAUCCUUUAUGCCCAGACUUUCUUGUUGUGCUUUCUGUGUUUUUAUGUUGCUCUGUGUGAAAUGAAGAUAAGUUUCUCUAGAAAUGUCUGAAGAAAUUAUGGCUUAAACAAAACCAGAGUAUGUCCCAGGGAAGCUUUCAUCAACAGUACGGAGUGCCUUGAUUUUCAGCAAAGAAGUGAGAACUGAGAAAGAAUUAGCUAGCGGGUUUGUGGAUGGCCGUGCAAAGUGAAUCUGCUCAGUCUAAUGUGGUGUUUUGUGUGCGAUGUACACAAACGUAAAUGACUGCAGAGUUAAAGAUGCUGAAGGGUCUUUUACACUUCUACUGUAAGGAUAGUUUGAUAGAGUGACAGCUCUAAUUCAUUUUUGUUGGGGAGGGAAUCUCAAAAAACCCCAAUUCAUUCAGCCUCAUUGUAAAAAAAGGGUUGAAACAUACAAUUAUGUGACAGAUUGUCACCGCUUACCUCACUAAUGAAAUCACAGGAGAGCAGGGUGUUGGGACUUUCUGAUUUUCCUGCGUGACCAUCUUUGUGAUAUUGGGGAUAACGGGGGAUCUUCUCACUAAGCAUUACUGUGCAGACAUGGCAAUCAGUGGUGCUGAGCUUCUAGUUAGCACACGUGCUGUCAACAUUUCUCCUUUUGGUUUGGUUAUUUCUUCAUUUUAAUGAAAGCUGUUAUGCAGAAUUCCCUGGGAUUUUGAUAGAGCG
This is a long non-coding RNA of Dromaius novaehollandiae (emu), 1621 nucleotides long. The record is from Ensembl. NCBI's taxonomy places the organism in Eukaryota, Metazoa, Chordata, Aves, Casuariiformes, Dromaiidae.